UACGUAGGGCUCAAGCGUUAUCCGGAUUUAUUGGGCGUAAAGAGUGCGUAGGUGGUUCAAAAAGUUUCUAGUAAAAGGCUUGGGCUUAACCUAAGUUCUGCUAGAAAGCCUUUUGGGCUUGAGGCCAGAAGAGGCAAGUGGAAUUUUCGGUGGAGGAGUGAAAUCCGUUGAUAUCGAAAAGAACACCAAUGGCGAAGGCAGCUUGCUAGUCUGGUUCUGACACUGAGGCACGAAAGCGUGGGGAGCGAAAGGG
RNAcentral lists this ribosomal RNA (253 nucleotides) under uncultured bacterium. RNAcentral describes it as "partial 16S ribosomal RNA". It matches the Rfam family "Bacterial small subunit ribosomal RNA", at positions 524 to 776 of the family's 1533-position model. The record is from RNAcentral.